UGGGGAAUAUUGCACAAUGGGGGAAACCCUGAUGCAGCAACGCCGCGUGAAGGAAGAAGUAUCUCGGUAUGUAAACUUCUAUCAGCAGGGAAGAAAAUGACGGUACCUGACUAAGAAGCUCCGGCUAAAUACGUGCCAGCAGCCGCGGUAAUACGUAUGGAGCAAGCGUUAUCCGGAUUUACUGGGUGUAAAGGGAGCGUAGGCGGUUAUGCAAGUCAGAUGUGAAAGCCCGGGGCUUAACCCCGGGACUGCAUUUGAAACUGUGUAACUAGAGUGUCGGAGAGGUAAGUGGAAUUCCUAGUGUAGCGGUGAAAUGCGUAGAUAUUAGGAGGAACACCAGUGGCGAAGGCGGCUUACUGGACGAUAACUGACGCUGAGGCUCGAAAGCGUGGGGAGCAAACA
Molecule: ribosomal RNA, 402 nt
Filed under: uncultured bacterium
Lineage: Bacteria
Description: bacterial SSU rRNA
Rfam family: Bacterial small subunit ribosomal RNA
Source: RNAcentral